CAUUCCCAAAGCACAUGGGCCAUAUCGGCCCGUUCCUGCUCGCACCACGGCAGCCGGGGGACGGGUGCAGCGCGGGCCACAGGCGGUGCAGGUGGUAGGGGCUACCCGAAAGAUCCCGUCUGCAACCAUUUCUGGUCGACCGCCCGGGACCUGUCCAGCCGCCCGUCGGCUGCUGGAUAUUUCCUUCGUUCAUUCCUGUUGUGACCAAGCACCUCUCGGAAACCUGCGUGUAACCCUGUGAAACGCCCGUCAGUCGCUGCUACAAUCGGCUGAUUGCGCAAGCACCGGCCGACUGCCACCCAUCAAGCACAAAAGCUGCUGCCUCGUGUCCUGGACUCCUAUCACCUUGCGUCGUUGGAGCCAUCGUCGCGCGAUCCCGCGCAGGUGAUGCCGGCACGCAUCGUAGUGCCCUCAAGUCAAGCAUAAGAAGCCUCAGCGGCAAAUGUCAAGCGUGAUUUGCGGCCAGUUUCACAGUGCUAAAACUGUCGCCUUCGCUCAUUGUAGCGAGAGACUGGAAUGAUGUUCCUGAAGAAGCGGCGAACCACUCGAGUGCGACCAUGUUCAAGACUGCCAUUGAACACCUUCUUUGAAGCUGCUCACCCCUCAUACAAAAUCAUUCUCCAGGG
Molecule: long non-coding RNA, 626 nt
Organism: Dermacentor albipictus
Lineage: Eukaryota; Metazoa; Arthropoda; Arachnida; Ixodida; Ixodidae
Source: RefSeq, a predicted model, not a curated record